RNAcentral lists this ribosomal RNA (494 nucleotides) under uncultured bacterium. RNAcentral describes it as "partial 16S ribosomal RNA". It matches the Rfam family "Bacterial small subunit ribosomal RNA", at positions 28 to 507 of the family's 1533-position model. The record is from RNAcentral.
GACGAACGCUGGCGGCGUGCUUAACACAUGCAAGUCGAACGGAAAGGCCUGCUUUCCCUUGUGGAUUGCGGGUACUCGAGUGGCGAACGGGUGAGUAACACGUGAGUGAUCUGCCCCCAACUUGGGUAUAAGCCUGGGAAACUGGGUCUAAUUCCCGAUAGGACUGCAGGGUGGUGCCUGUGGUGGAAAACGAUUUUCUAGUGGUUGGGGAUGAGCUCGCGGCCUAUCAGCUUGUUGGUGGGGUAAUGGCCUACCACGGCGGCGACGGGUAGCCGGCCUGAGAGGGUGGACCGCCACAUUGGGACUGAGAUACGGCCCAGACUCCUACGGGAGGCAGCAGUGGGGAAUAUUGCACAAUGGGCGGAAGCCUGAUGCAGCGACGCCGCGUGGGGGAUGACGGCCUUCGGGUUGUAAACUCCUUUCGACCGCGAGGAAGCCACCUGGUUGGAAGGGUGGUGACGGUAGUGGUAGAAGAAGCACCGGCUAACUACGUG